Molecule: ribosomal RNA, 428 nt
Filed under: Chloroflexota bacterium
Lineage: Bacteria; Bacillati; Chloroflexota
Description: Chloroflexi bacterium partial 16S ribosomal RNA
Rfam family: Bacterial small subunit ribosomal RNA
Source: RNAcentral
UGGGGAAUAUUGCACAAUGGGCGCAAGCCUGAUGCAGCCAUGCCGCGUGUAUGAAGAAGGCCUUCGGGUUGUAAAGUACUUUCAGUCGGGAGGAAGGUGGUAAGGUUAAUAACCUUAUCAAUUGACGUUACCGACAGAAGAAGCACCGGCUAACUCCGUGCCAGCAGCCGCGGUAAUACGGAGGGUGCAAGCGUUAAUCGGAAUUACUGGGCGUAAGCGCACGCAGGCGGUUGAUUGAGUCAGAUGUGAAAUCCCCGGGCUUAACCCGGGAAUUGCAUCUGAUACUGGUCAGCUAGAGUCUUGUAGAGGGGGGUAGAAUUCCAUGUGUAGCGAUGAAAUGCGUAGAGAUGUGGAGGAAUACCGGUGGCGAAGGCGGCCCCCUGGACAAAGACUGACGCUCAGGUGCGAAAGCGUGGGGAGCAAACAGG